AUAGGUGUCAUUUUAUGACUUAAUAGGGGAAAUUGGUGUAAAACCAAUGCGGUCCCGCCACUGUAAAUGGUUGAUAACAAAGAAACCUGCUAUCUAUGUAAUAGCAGGAAUCUGUGAUAUUAAACCAUGAGCCAGGAAACCUGCCUAUCUUCC
This 153-nucleotide non-coding RNA is filed under the name uncultured Cytobacillus sp. The record is from RNAcentral. Lineage: Bacteria; Bacillati; Bacillota; Bacilli; Caryophanales; Bacillaceae.